RNAcentral lists this ribosomal RNA (465 nucleotides) under uncultured bacterium. RNAcentral's name for it is "partial 16S ribosomal RNA". It matches the Rfam family "Bacterial small subunit ribosomal RNA", at positions 28 to 507 of the family's 1533-position model. The record is from RNAcentral.
GACGAACGCUGGCGGCGUGCUUAACACAUGCAAGUCGAACGGAAAGGCCCCUUCGGGGGUACUCGAGUGGCGAACGGGUGAGUAACACGUGAGUAACCUGCCCUUGACUUCGGGAUAACUUCAGGAAACUGGGGCUAAUACCGGAUAGGAAUCCUUGCUGCAUGGUGGGGGUUGGAAAGCUUCGGCGGUUUUGGAUGGACUCGCGGCUUAUCAGCUUGUUGGUGGGGUAGUGGCUUACCAAGGCUUUGACGGGUAGCCGGCCUGAGAGGGCGACCGGCCACAUUGGGACUGAGAUACGGCCCAGACUCCUACGGGAGGCAGCAGUGGGGAAUAUUGCACAAUGGGCGGAAGCCUGAUGCAGCAACGCCGCUUGCGGGAUGACGGCCUUCGGGUUGUAAACCGCUUUCAGCAGGGGCGAAGCUUGUGGUGACGGUACCUGCAGAAGAAGCACCGGCUAACUACGUG